This 335-nucleotide unclassified non-coding RNA is filed under the name soil metagenome. RNAcentral describes it as "partial contains 5.8S ribosomal RNA, internal transcribed spacer 2, and large subunit ribosomal RNA". The stretch from base 1 to 120 matches the Rfam family "5.8S ribosomal RNA", at positions 35 to 154 of the family's 154-position model. The record is from RNAcentral.
GAUGAAGAACGUAGCGAAAUGCGAUAAGUAAUGUGAAUUGCAGAAUUCAGUGAAUCAUCGAAUCUUUGAACGCACAUUGCGCCCAUUAGCAUUCUAGUGGGCAUGCCUGUUCGAGCGUCAUUUCAACCCUUAAGCCCUGUUGCUUAGCGUUGGGAGCCUACAGUACUGUAGCUCCCCAAAGUUAGUGGCGGAGUCGGUUUCACACUCUAGACGUAGUAAUUUUUUCUCGUCUGUAGUUGAGCCGGUCCCCUGCCGAAAAACACCCAAUUUAUCAAGGUUGACCUCGGAUCAGGUAGGAAUACCCGCUGAACUUAAGCAUAUCAAUAAGCGGAGGA